AACCGAGACAGGAAAGCCGUACAACGUCGUCCGGUUCUUCUUCCUCGCAGAAGUUCCCCUUCCUUUCCACUCGUGUAUAAAGGCUGACUUCAAUGGAGCGAAGUGGAGGCCCGUCGCCGGGAGGCUUGGGCCGGCUGUGUGCACGGACUCUACGGAUUUUAAGGUUUAACCUUAUAUAUAUAUCUCUCUUGUAAGCCACUGUACGGCUUUUUAAUUUCAUCCCAAUAUAGUGAAGAUAUUUUUGCUGGCUG
This is a long non-coding RNA of Oryza brachyantha (malo sina), 251 nucleotides long. RefSeq lists it as uncharacterized. NCBI's taxonomy places the organism in Eukaryota, Viridiplantae, Streptophyta, Magnoliopsida, Poales, Poaceae. The transcript has 2 exons. The record is from RefSeq and is a predicted model, not a curated record.